Molecule: ribosomal RNA, 408 nt
Filed under: Verrucomicrobiota bacterium
Lineage: Bacteria; Pseudomonadati; Verrucomicrobiota
Description: Verrucomicrobia bacterium partial 16S ribosomal RNA
Rfam family: Bacterial small subunit ribosomal RNA
Source: RNAcentral
UGGGGAAUAUUGGACAAUGGACCAAGAGUCUGAUCCAGCAAUUCUGUGUGCACGAUGAAGUUUUUCGGAAUGUAAAGUGCUUUCAGUUGGGAAGAAAGAAAUGACGGUACCAACAGAAGAAGUGACGGCUAACUACGUGCCAGCAGCCGCGGUAAUACGUAGGUGGCAAGCGUUGUCCGGAAUUAUUGGGCGUAAAGCGCGCGCAGGUGGUUUAGAAAGUCUGAUGUGAAAGCCCACGGCUCAACCGUGGAGGGUCAUUGGAAACUAAUAAACUUGAGUGCAGGAGAGAAAAGUGGAAUUCCUAGUGUAGCGGUGAAAUGCGUAGAGAUUAGGAGGAACACCGGUGGCGAAAGCGGCUUUUUGGCCUGCAACUGACACUGAGGCGCGAAAGCGUGGGGAGCAAACAGG